GAUGAACGCUAGCGGGAGGCUUAACACAUGCAAGUCGAGGGGCAGCAUAGGGUAGCAAUACUCUGAUGGCGACCGGCAAACGGGUGAGUAACGCGUAUGCAACCUACCCUGUACAGGGGGAUAACCCGGAGAAAUUCGGACUAAUAUCCCGUAAUAAUAUCCGGAGGCAUCUUUGGAUAUUUAAAGUUUCGACGGUACGGGAUGGGCAUGCGUAACAUUAGCUGGUUGGUAAGGUAACGGCUUACCAAGGCUAUGAUGUUUAGGGGUCCUGAGAGGGUGGUCCCCCACACUGGUACUGAGACACGGACCAGACUCCUACGGGAGGCAGCAGUGAGGAAUAUUGGUCAAUGGGCGCAAGCCUGAACCAGCCAUCCCGCGUGCAGGAAGACGGCCCUAUGGGUUGUAAACUGCUUUUCCAGGGAGAGAAACUUACGCACGUGUUGCGUGACUGACGGUACCCUGGGAAUAAGCAUCGGCUAACUCCGUGCCAGCAGCCGCGGUAACUGUAGUCGU
RNAcentral lists this ribosomal RNA (513 nucleotides) under uncultured bacterium. Its description in RNAcentral is "bacterial SSU rRNA". It matches the Rfam family "Bacterial small subunit ribosomal RNA", at positions 28 to 533 of the family's 1533-position model. The record is from RNAcentral.